GUGUGACGAUGUACACUUGGGGGUGGGGGGAGAGGAUGUCCGGUGUUCUAACAGUUUAUCCUACAUUAUCAGAUUUUCCUACCGGAGCGCAAAAUGAUAGUUAGAACCAUCGGUUUUUCCUACUUUAUCAGAAAAUCCUAGCCAUAUAAACGGGGAGUUUUGAACUGAAGUGCACUACAUAAAGAAAUCCUACCCCACGUCAGGGUAGCACAGUUUUAUGGGGUGAAGUGACAGUGGUGGACCGUCAGGGUCAGUAAGUCCUUCUCUGCUGGACUAAACAGCAGUGAUCUGAAUCACUGACUUGCAUUUUAAUAUAUUUAAUAUAUUUUUUCAUGAAUGUGUAUUAAAUUAUUCCCAAUAGUCUAUUCUCUACAUUUCAUAGCAUUUCUCACAGUUGCGCUGCUUCCAGUAGUGUAUAUUUAUGAUAAGAGUAUUUAUCCAAUCAUAUUUCAGCUAGUGGAUGACAUCAUGUGUUGCCAGGGUGAAAGAAAUCUGCCUUAAGGCCUUCAGAAUCAAUAGUGCAGGCGCCCGGAACUUAAAAUAAGUGUUAAUGAAAUUGUUACCUUAACCAAUCAGAUUUCGAGUUGGCAUCACUGGGGCCAUCUAGCAGGCAUACAAUUACAUCAGCAAUUUCCCGUCUUUUGAUUGGAUAGUUGGAGUAGUCAGAGGCAGCGACCCGCCCAUAAACAUUGUUUCUAUAUUCACUGCGUCUCAUUUCGGAUGCUGCGUCCUCUGGAGAUUGCAGUUUGCUGCAUAAUUCAUCUAGAAUGUCUUUUUUGAAAAAAGUAACUGUAAUAAAAUGGACUAUUCCUUUUGAGGUGUGAAAUACUGUAGACUAAUUUCUUUUUUACUUUGUUAUUUAAUGGGUGAUUAGUAUCUAUUGCCGUGGCGUCCAGGGGCGAUUCUAGAAUUUUCAUUUGAGGGUAUAAUAGUAAAAAACAAAUUAAUAAACAAAUAAAUAAAUAAAAUAAAGGUUUGACUAACAGGGUAGGAUGGUAAACGUAUUGUAGCAUUCCACUGUAUUGCAUAGAUGCGUAUAACAUUUGAGUAUUAAACAAUACUUCCUGAUUUCACACUCACACACACACACACACACACACACACACACACACAGACACACACACACACACAGACACACACACACACACACACACGUCCUCUGAUCCUCACUCUGUGAUGCCACGGUCUGCAGAUUGAAGAACACAAUGAAAGUCGGGGAAGAGCUGAAGUCUGCUGCUGUUUCCAUAUGAAGUUUAAAGGGGACUGAGGAGAUCACCAAUUUGUGUAGAGUUUAUGGAGAAUCGCAGAAUUUUAGGAGGGCUGAGUAGAAAAUGGCCUAGCGACGCUCAUGGUGGCGUCAUAAUGAUGGUAUAGGGGUGGAUUAAUUCAGGAAGGACACCAGUGAAGGCCUAGGUGUGAAAUGCAUGGCCCCCCACUGUGAAGUGAGAAUAGAGACUGAAUAAAUGAACCAAAAGUUAUUUUGUGGUGGAACUGGACAAACUGACCACACAAAAUUACAACUGGUACCCAAAUAUUUAGUUGUAGAUUAACCAAAAAGAAAAAGAAAACGUGUUUCACAAACACUUUGUACAAAUGAAAUCAGUCAAAUCAAACUGAUCCUUAGGAUCAAAAUAUGCACAGUGAAAGUGUGUCCAUCAGUCACACUGCCCAUCUGUCACACUGUCCAUCGGUCACACUGUCCAUCGGUCACACAGUCCAUCAGUCACACUGUCCAUCGGUCACACUGUCCAUCGGUCACACUGUCCAUCGGUCACACAGUCCAUCAGUCACACUGUCCAUCAGUCACACUGUCCAUCAGUCACACUGUCCAUCGGUCACACUGUCCAUCGGUCACACAGUCCAUCGGUCACACUGUCCAUCGGUCACACUGCCCAUCGGUCACACUGUCCAUCGGUCACACUGUCCAUCAGUCACACUGCACUGGUCACACUGCACCUACAAGUAUAAAAAAGUAAUAAAUUAGCAAUAUGAGAGAAUCUGUUGCAGACAGGAAAAAAUCUAAAUAUUUGUACAGUUUGUCCAAAUACAUGUGCAUAACAAUUUACACUUAACUGCAAUUGUUAGUGUGUGCUUUUAUGUGUACAUGUGUGUAACACUGUAACCCUUGAUAAGUAAUCCAACUUUACAUAGAUUUUGUUGUAUGUAUUUAAUACAAAGAUUUACCAUUUUAAUUAGGCUUUUGUCAGCAUCACAUUCCAACAUGGAGCAAAUGACACAGUAGUCCGAUGCCUUGCCUAAACAAACACAAGUUCCCAUAAACUUUUUGUGCUUCUAUCAUGAAAUAUGCGUGACUGAGGCAACACCAUUAGAUGAUUAUUGUGGAUAUUUCAUUACUCUAGAGCCCACCCUGAAAUUCCAGGAGGGUCCAGACUAUUUCCAAUCGGGCACAUGUCACAAAAUCUGAAGUUGUCUGAACUCCACUGAUGUCUCCCACUGAAAGGAGAUGUUCAGCAAACUGCAGAUAAGAAUCAAUCAGGAUAUAAUAUUUUCAAUUUGUCACCAUGUGAGUACAUAUCUUCAGUUCUGAGCUGAGGUUCAGCAUGAAUCUAUUCAGUUCAGCAUGGGCAUGCAAUCCACCAUGACAUGCAAUGUGCAGUGGUACAGAGCUAAAGCUGAAGAACUGAAGAGCUGAAGCACUAUAUUGUGGGCCAGAGCAGUGCUUUACGGUGACUUAACGACAUUGAUGAUAACCUACUUCUGACUUUAGUAUGUUUUUAGUUUUAAGGCACACAACUUUAUCAGUUUCUUUCUGUAUCAGGUUCAGUUAGCGGAUAUUUUAAACACGGCACACAGUCUUGUGUCGAUGUUGAACAUCAGGCUAAGUUCAUCAGGGAAUGUCAGGCCAGUCAGACAGGGAAAUACAAGUCAGUCUCCUGAGGGCCCGGGAGCCCAAAGAGAGUCCCCUCAACAGACAGGACAAGUAGUAACGAGGCCCCAGGGCAGUGGCUUUGGACUGUCAGUGCAUCAAGAAAUGGCUAGAUCAUUUCCUGGACUUUUCCACAAAGAGGCCAAAGGCAAAAGACGUUUUGCACCUUAUGCACAACCACAAAAGAUUUUUUUAGUUAACUUUUUUCUGCUUGAUAAACGUCCAAAGACACCCAAAGGAGAUGAGGAGCUCCAGCUUGUACUGGCUGGACUUGGAAAACAUUCACUAACAGUAAACAUCACACAUUGAGUUGACAGAUUUGCUUUGGAACACAUAUCCAAGACUUAAAAGUAUCUUUGGUGGCUGGUUGCUACACAAAUCCACAGGUGGGGGUGGGCAACACAAAUUGGCUGUUAUUCCUCCUGACUCAAAUGGAUACAAUCGGUAGCAGCUAAAAGGAGAAGCCUUCACCCAGGACCAUUUGCCACCAGUGUGCCCAGAAAACCAGGCAGAGCUGACUGCCGAGUGUCCUGUGUGCAGAGGUGCAUUCGACAUUGAUGUAAUUGAGACUCAUGCAUCUGACUGUGGAUUACGGACAGCAGACCAGGAAGGCAAUGGCAGCAUUUUAAGUGAAGCAAUGAACUCCAUGUUUCCGCUGGUGAGCCCCGUGUUGUACGCAGUGGAGCAGGAUCUCAGAGCAUCAUGAACGGAUUUAUCCACCCACG
Hemibagrus wyckioides is the source of this 3612-nucleotide long non-coding RNA. RefSeq lists it as uncharacterized. NCBI's taxonomy places the organism in Eukaryota, Metazoa, Chordata, Actinopteri, Siluriformes, Bagridae. The record is from RefSeq and is a predicted model, not a curated record. The transcript is spliced from 7 exons.